CUUUCUCGUCAGGCCCGACGCAGGCCAAUUAGUGUAGUGUAAUUGUUUAACGGAGGCAGUGCGCUGUGCUGGGUGGGAGAGUGAACUCGCAGCGAGGGCGGCUGAGAUGAUAGAGCGGAAACUGGCCUUGGCCUGGCGCAAGGGCCUGCAGGACUCACCACCACGAAGCCACGUUUGGGAAGCGCCAGGUCCCCCUGAUGCCUGGCAGCCCCGAUUCCUCGCUCUCUGUCAUUGCUAUCGCGGUGGGAUCAAUUUCCGGAGCUAAUUCCUCAACUCCGCCAUGCCCAAAGCUCUGUGCAGCAUUAUCUCCUUCCUAGGAUGCCCCCUGAAAGCAAAACCUACUGCAACCAUAGAAACCAGAGGACUUAACUGAUGUGUCAUGUACGUGUGCAGGCUCUGUUUUCAGUACCUUUGCCAAGAACACAAUGUGAGAGCCUGUAAGAAGGUUUAUUUCAUUCUUUCAUCCCAUAUAUCUGUAAAGAUAGACAGAAUCAGCCGCAAAAAAACAAUGAAUACUUGCUUCUUUUUCUGAUGUUAUGCAGAGCCUCCAGAAGAACAGUGCUAUUACUGUUAUGACUGGUGAUGCAGACACAAAAGGUAGCUGGACUGGUUUAAUAGGGAGCCAAAUGCUGCGAGCGGCUUUCUCAGGGAGGGUGGAAUUCACUGUCUGCGGUAAACAAGCCUCCUAUAGGCUUCCCAUUGUGCGUGUAGUGUCAGGCGGCUGGAGCAAAAGACGUUUCCACAACUGCUAUCCUUUUAGCUGAAUGUGGCCAUACAGUAGGUGGCCAAAUCUGUUUGGCUUUCACCGUGAUCUGUGAAUUCCCUGCAUCCAACCAACUUGUCAAAUUAAAACCUUUCCUGCUCUGCACUGAGGAACAGACGUGCUAUGGAAGCUUCUUGCACUCUAGCCCUUUGUCACCAGCACGCUGAGCUUCCAACAUCUGCUCACUGGACUCAGCUUUUGCACCUUGUUCAUUUAUAAUGCAGCAAACCUCAGCAUCCUCGGCGCAGGGUCUAAUGUGCCUCGGAUUUAAAAAAGAAAACGGGAUAAAAGAAUGUCGAGCAGGGAGAGGAAGAGAAAUUGAGGCUCUAAUGUCUGAAUUACUCACCAAUUUGGGAAUAAAUAUUUUUUUAAGUGGGGGUUUUGUUGGAUU
Molecule: long non-coding RNA, 1154 nt
Filed under: Struthio camelus australis
Lineage: Eukaryota; Metazoa; Chordata; Aves; Struthioniformes; Struthionidae
Description: lncRNA (ENSSCUG00000006695.1)
Source: RNAcentral